RNAcentral lists this ribosomal RNA (1012 nucleotides) under uncultured bacterium. RNAcentral describes it as "bacterial SSU rRNA". It matches the Rfam family "Bacterial small subunit ribosomal RNA", at positions 1 to 1057 of the family's 1533-position model. The record is from RNAcentral.
GGGGUUUCGACGGCAGUGAUUAUGGCUCAGGAUGAACGCUGGCGGCGUGCUUAACACAUGCAAGUCGAACGAAGCAACUUAUUACGAUCCCUUCGGGGUGACGAUUUGUUGACUGAGUGGCGGACGGGUGAGUAACGCGUGGGUAACCUGCCUCGUACAGGGGGACAACAGUUGGAAACGGCUGCUAAUACCGCAUAAGCGCACAGUACCGCAUGGUACAGUGUGAAAAACUCCGGUGGUACGAGAUGGACCCGCGUCUGAUUAGCUAGUUGGUGAGGUAACGGCCCACCAAGGCGACGAUCAGUAGCCGAUCUGAGAGGAUGAACGGCCACAUUGGGACUGAGACACGGCCCAGACUCCUACGGGAGGCAGCAGUGGGGAAUAUUGCACAAUGGGCGAAAGCCUGAUGCAGCGACGCCGCGUGAGCGAUGAAGUAUUUCGGUAUGUAAAGCUCUAUCAGCAGGGAAGAAAAAUGACGGUACCUGACUAAGAAGCACCGGCUAAAUACGUGCCAGCAGCCGCGGUAAUACGUAUGGUGCAAGCGUUAUCCGGAUUUACUGGGUGUAAAGGGAGCGUAGGCGGUUUUACAAGUCUGAUGUGAAAGCCCGGGGCUCAACUCCGGUAUUGCAUUGGAAACUGUAGAACUAGAGUGUCGGAGGGGUAAGUGGAAUUCCUAGUGUAGCGGUGAAAUGCGUAGAUAUUAGAGGAACACCAGUGGCGACGCGGCUUACUGGACGAUUACUGACGCUGAGGCUCGAAAGCGUGGGGAGCAAACAGAUUAGAUACCUGUAGUCACGCGUAAACGAUGAUACUAGUGUUGCACACAGUUGUCGUGCGCAGCUACGCAAUAGUAUCACUGGGGAGUACGUCGCAGAUGAACUCAAAGAUGACGGGACCGCACAGCGGUGGAGCAUGUGGUUAUCGAGCACCGAGACUACAGUCUUGACAUCGAUGAACAACAGAUGAGCCCCCUCGGGACAAUCGGUGACAGUGUGUGCAAGGGUUGUGCUUU